GGUAAAAUGGCCGAGUAGGCAUUAGACUGUAAAUCUAAGGACAGAGGUGGAUAAUUCCUCUUUUUACCA
RNAcentral lists this transfer RNA (69 nucleotides) under Plecotus macrobullaris. RNAcentral describes it as "tRNA-Tyr". It matches the Rfam family "tRNA". Rfam says of the family: Transfer RNA (tRNA) molecules are approximately 80 nucleotides in length. The record is from RNAcentral. Lineage: Eukaryota; Metazoa; Chordata; Mammalia; Chiroptera; Vespertilionidae.